This 65-nucleotide ribosomal RNA is filed under the name Hoylesella shahii DSM 15611 = JCM 12083. The record is from RNAcentral. Lineage: Bacteria; Pseudomonadati; Bacteroidota; Bacteroidia; Bacteroidales; Prevotellaceae.
GAAGUUAAGCCCGCUUGCGCCGAUGGUACUGCAAUGCAAUGCGGGAGAGUAGGUGGCCGCCUUUU